GGGUCAGUAGGUUGGUCGUGCCACCGGUACGUACUGGUCUCACUGAUUCCUCCUUCCUGAAGAACCGUAAUGCCAUUAAUUAGGUGUUGCGGGGAAACAGGACUGUUACUUUGAAAAAAUUAGAGUGUUUAAAGCAAGCUAACGCUUGAAUACAUUAGCAUGGAAUAAUGAAAUAGGACAAUCGAUCCCAUUUUGUUGGUUUCUAGGAUUGACGUA
This 216-nucleotide ribosomal RNA is filed under the name Glomeromycotina sp. Its description in RNAcentral is "partial small subunit ribosomal RNA". The stretch from base 40 to 216 matches the Rfam family "Eukaryotic small subunit ribosomal RNA", at positions 686 to 864 of the family's 1831-position model. Lineage: Eukaryota; Fungi; Glomeromycota. The record is from RNAcentral.